UACGUAGGGGGCAAGCGUUGCUCGGAAUCACUGGGCGUAAAGCGCACGUAGGCGGCUUCUUAAGUCAGGGGUGAAAUCCUGGAGCUCAACUCCAGAACUGCCUUUGAUACUGAGGAGCUUGAGUCCGGGAGAGGUGAGUGGAACUGCGAGUGUAGAGGUGAAAUUCGUAGAUAUUCGCAAGAACACCAGUGGCGAAGGCGGCUCACUGGCCCGGUACUGACGCUGAGGUGCGAAAGCGUGGGGAGCAAACAGG
Molecule: ribosomal RNA, 253 nt
Filed under: uncultured bacterium
Lineage: Bacteria
Description: partial 16S ribosomal RNA
Rfam family: Bacterial small subunit ribosomal RNA
Source: RNAcentral